Molecule: long non-coding RNA, 2092 nt
Organism: Triticum urartu
Lineage: Eukaryota; Viridiplantae; Streptophyta; Magnoliopsida; Poales; Poaceae
Source: RefSeq, a predicted model, not a curated record
GCGGUUAAAAAAUAUCUACCCACCACGCACGCACGAUCUCUCGCCCCCCGCAUCCUCCCGCACGGGCCGUUCCUCCACGCCCGCACGACCUCUCGCCAUCUCCUCCUCCCGCACGGGCCAUUCGCCGCCCCGCCGUUCCUCCCGCGGCCGUCAGCCGCAGCCAGAGCCACACCUCCCCGCCGCUCAGCUUGGCGGAGCCGCCGGAGCCACCCCCUUCGCCGCCAUCCAGUAGCUGGCAACCGGCGCGCUCCCACGUCGCCGCCGGUGGGCCGCCGCAAGACCGUCGUCGGCCGCGUCCGUACACUCAUCCAUCUGCAUAGCCCCGGCUUCGUCUCCUCCGCGCCGAGGCUGUACGCGCCCUUGAUUUGGACGGCAGUACCACCGGGGCGCAUCACCUUCUUGCGCCUCCCACAUCGGCCUCCAUCUCCAUGGUCGCAAGGGCUUGCCGGCAACACCUGAUCUUUGAUCUGGUUUGUAUGCAUGCGUGUGUGUGAUUAGUUUCAGCGGCCACAGGGUCGUUGUAGUAAGAUGAUGCAUCACGCAUUGAAUGGAACCAUAAGGCUAGGAGCGCGUGCACACACUGGCGUCGGCGGCACGGUGUCAAGCUGCGGAGAAGGCAUCCGGCGAGGCGGCCACCAGGUGGAUAAGUGGAUGGCACAUGUGUAUAUUGUUGUUGAGGGAUUAUAUUCGACAUUUUAUUUUUAUCCCAACACUAGAUUGAAGUGGUGAUUUACAAAGGAUUUUUAGUGGGGCACAAGUGUAGAUUGAUAAAAAAGCAUGCUGAAUUGUGAAGUAGUACCAUGCUAGAAUUACUUGGCUACAUUUUUUUUGUUUCUUUGAUGCAAUGUAAUCUUUGUUGUUCCUGUUAUUAGUGAAUUUUCUAGAACAUCGGGUAAGCACUAUGCUAAAAAAAAGCUAUUCUAGAAAAGGAUGAGAAGAGCUAUUCCAGAAAAGGAUGAGAAGAGCCUCAAGGUACAUUCUUUUUAUUCUUCCAGUGUGUCUUACAUAUUUUCUAGCUUGCAAUGCUUUAUAAGAUAUUUCAUAUGGAGGUCAACGUUGAAAAAAAAGGAGUAGUCAACUUGUGGAGAACAAUGUUAAUCAAGCUCUCAUGAUAUUCCCUCUGCUUCAAGAUGUUUUCUCAACUAUUUGUUAACAUGCUUCUGAACUUUGAUUUUCUUUACUAAACUAGACCAUUGUGCAGGUGUUGGUUCAUGAUGGGUCGUCCUUAAAAAUCUUGACAAUUACCCUUGACACAACACAUGGGAUGUGCUCAAUCCUACUUAUUUUUGUCUAUUAUUUUAUAUAUGUUUUUCACCUCAGAGAUUUUAUUAAAUUUCAGUUGGGUUAUAACAAGAGAUGCAAAUGAAGAACUUUAUUAUGGGUUUUCAUAAAACAAAUAUGUACUUCCAAAUACCUUGAAGGUUAUUGAUUAUAUGCAGCAAGGCCAUUUGAUUAAGUUGGCUCUUUUUUGACACCAAUUUAUAUGCAAGCUAUUUGAAUAUAUAUUUGCGAAAGAAAGUACAGAAGUGUGUUUGGGUGAGGCCAAGAUUAAACAUCUCACAUUUUGUUUCAGAAAUCAUCUCUACUUUAAGUCCAAGAGGUCAUCAGGUGAUGAGAUGGAUGAACUCCCAGUUUGCAUUUAUUGGGAGCUAUGAAACUGGUAAAAUGAUUAUGGUUCCCGCAACUCCUAAGCCUAUUACAUUGGAACUUGGUGAAGAAGACCUAUUCCUAUUUGAGUAUGUUGACAUUGACAAAAGGCAGCAAAGGGAACAAGUAUUGAAGGGGGCAUAAAGAACUAUGGGAGAAGCGUCCAUUUGACAAGCUCAAAGUCAUUGGUUCGCACUACCGUGGUUAUAUCAAAGAUUCAAUGGGAAAGAAAGUUAGCUUGUUCACCAUCUUGACUGCAUUUUCAUUGUUUCUUAUUAGGCCUGAGAUGUAGAUAUACUGGUAGGCAUUCUUCACCCAUUAUGACUGAAGCCUGAUUAUCACAUUGUAUUGCUAUGCGUUACAAACUGUUUUUGAAAUGUAACUCCUGCACAUCAUACGAGAACUUGGUUUAGAUUAUGAUUAUUCAUUUACAUAUCAUUAUUUA